Falco peregrinus (peregrine falcon) is the source of this 561-nucleotide long non-coding RNA. RefSeq lists it as uncharacterized. The transcript has 5 exons. NCBI's taxonomy places the organism in Eukaryota, Metazoa, Chordata, Aves, Falconiformes, Falconidae. The record is from RefSeq and is a predicted model, not a curated record.
CCGCUCCCGCCUCGGAAGUGACAUCCCGGCGCGGGAGGCGAUGGGGUCAGCGCUGUGAGGGGGCGAUGGCGGCGGGGCGGUGCCGGCCCGGCGGGGCUGAGGUGGCGGCGGGGGAGACGCCGCGCUGACGGGAGCCUGACCGACAUCUUCAGCCAGGAAACCAAAGGAUUUCACACUAACCCACUGCAGUUCUGAGAAACUUAGUCAUUGCCAGCCUCUCCUUACUGUGUUUUCAUGGGAAUAUUUAUAAAGUUUAAACCUGGAGAAACUCCAAGAGAGCCAGAGCACAACUUCUCUCCAGAGUUCAUCAAUCCAGUCCCAAAUAACAAAUGCGAUCAGAAGAACAGACCACGUAGCAAUGCAAAUACUCACCUCAUCUGUGAGAUUAUCAACUCUGUACAGACUGGGAUGUGUCAUAAGCAUGAGGUGACACUGCCCGUGUACCUUACCUUUGCUGGAUGUGUACAGGAGAGCUGACUGAAAAGAAACAACCUGCAUAUCAGUAAGACUCUCUUCUACUGACAUUUGCACAGCAUAUCCUGCAUCUGGGUUAACAUUGGG